Molecule: ribosomal RNA, 253 nt
Filed under: uncultured bacterium
Lineage: Bacteria
Description: partial 16S ribosomal RNA
Rfam family: Bacterial small subunit ribosomal RNA
Source: RNAcentral
GACGUAGGGCGCGAGCGUUGUCCGGAUUUAUUGGGCGUAAAGAGCUCGUAGGCGGUCUGUUACGUCUGCUGUGAAAACCCAGGGCUUAACCCUGGGCUUGCAGUGGAUACGGGCAGACUAGAGGCAGGUAGGGGAGAAUGGAAUUCCCGGUGUAGCGGUGAAAUGCGCAGAUAUCAGGAGGAACACCGGUGGCGAAGGCGGUUCUCUGGGCCUGUACUGACGCUGAGGAACGAAAGCGUGGGGAGCGAACAGG